RNAcentral lists this ribosomal RNA (422 nucleotides) under uncultured bacterium. RNAcentral describes it as "partial 16S ribosomal RNA". It matches the Rfam family "Bacterial small subunit ribosomal RNA", at positions 356 to 795 of the family's 1533-position model. The record is from RNAcentral.
GGGGAAUAUUGCACAAUGGGCGAAAGCCUGAUGCAGCAACGCCGCGUGAGUGAUGAAGGUCUUCGGAUUGUAAAGCUCUGUCUUUUGGGACGAUAAUGACGGUACCAAAGGAGGAAGCCACGGCUAACUACGUGCCAGCAGCCGCGGUAAUACGUAGGUGGCGAGCGUUGUCCGGAUUUACUGGGCGUAAAGGGUGCGUAGGCGGAUGUUUAAGUGAGAUGUGAAAUACCCGGGCUUAACUUGGGUGCUGCAUUUCAAACUGGAUAUCUAGAGUGCAGGAGAGGAGAAUGGAAUUCCUAGUGUAGCGGUGAAAUGCGUAGAGAUUAGGAAGAACACCAGUGGCGAAGGCGAUUCUCUGGACUGUAACUGACGCUGAGGCACGAAAGCGUGGGUAGCAAACAGGAUUAGAUACCCUGGUAGUC